GAGUUUGAUCCUGGCUCAGGACGAACGCUGGCGGUGCGCCUUAUGCAUGCAAGUCGAGCGAAGCUUUUCAGUAGUUUACUACAGAAAAUGACUGAGCGGCGAACGGGUGAGUAACGCGUGAGCAAUCUACCUUAGUUACAGGGAUAGCCCGAGGAAACUCGGAUUAAUACCUGAUAUUCUUUAUUUCUCGCAUGAGAAUAAAAGGAAAGGUCAGCCGAACUAAGAUGAGCUCGCGUUCUAUCAGCUAGUUGGUGAGGUAAAAGCUUACCAAGGCUACGACGGAUAGCUGGUCUGAGAGGACGAUCAGCCACACUGGGACUGAGACACGGCCCAGACUCCUACGGGAGGCUGCAGCAGGGAAUAUUGUGCAAUGAACGAAAGUUUGACACAGCGACACCGCGUGUGGGAUGACGGAUCUAGGUUUGUAAACCACUUUCAGGAGGGAAGAAAAUGACGGUACCUCCACAAGAAGCCCCGGCCAACUACGUGCCAGCAGCCGCGGUAAUACGUAGGGGGCGAGCGUUGUCCGGAUUUAUUGGGCGUAAAG
Molecule: ribosomal RNA, 547 nt
Filed under: uncultured bacterium
Lineage: Bacteria
Description: bacterial SSU rRNA
Rfam family: Bacterial small subunit ribosomal RNA
Source: RNAcentral